CUGGGGCUAUAGCUCAGUGGUAGAGUGCCUGCCUGGAACGUAUGAGGCACUGGGUUUGAUCCUCAGCACCAGA
This 73-nucleotide transfer RNA is filed under the name Marmota monax (woodchuck). RNAcentral describes it as "tRNA.Ser". It matches the Rfam family "tRNA". Rfam says of the family: Transfer RNA (tRNA) molecules are approximately 80 nucleotides in length. Their secondary structure includes four short double-helical elements and three loops (D, anti-codon, and T loops). Further hydrogen bonds mediate the characteristic L-shaped molecular structure. tRNAs have two regions of fundamental functional importance: the anti-codon, which is responsible for specific mRNA codon recognition, and the 3' end, to which the tRNAs corresponding amino acid is attached (by aminoacyl-tRNA synthetases). tRNAs cope with the degeneracy of the genetic code in two manners: having more than one tRNA (with a specific anti-codon) for a particular amino acid; and 'wobble' base-pairing, i.e. permitting non-standard base-pairing at the 3rd anti-codon position. Lineage: Eukaryota; Metazoa; Chordata; Mammalia; Rodentia; Sciuridae. The record is from RNAcentral.